CCCUUAGAUGUUCUGGGCCGCACGCGCGCUACACUGACGGAUUCAACGAGCUUACAACCUUGGCCGAAAGGUCUGGGUAAUCUCCAAAAUCCGUCGUGAUGGGGAUAGAUUAUUGCAAUUAUUAAUCUUCAACGAGGAAUGCCUAGUAAGCGCAAGUCAUCAGCUUGCGUUGAUUACGUCCCUGCCCUUUGUACACACCGCCCGUCGCUCCUACCGAUUGAAUGCUCAGGUGAGCCAUUCGGACUUUCAUCAUGCUGGUUUCCAGUUUUGAUGAAGGAAAGUCUUGCGAACCUUAUCAUUUAGAGGAAGGAGAAGUCGUAACA
RNAcentral lists this ribosomal RNA (323 nucleotides) under uncultured eukaryote. Its description in RNAcentral is "partial 18S ribosomal RNA". It matches the Rfam family "Eukaryotic small subunit ribosomal RNA", at positions 1470 to 1796 of the family's 1831-position model. The record is from RNAcentral.